GAUGAACGCUGGCGGCGUGCCUAAUACAUGCAAGUCGAGCGAACGGACGCGACGCUUGCUUCUCUGAUGUUAGCGGCGGACGGGUGAGUAACACGUGGAUAACCUACCUAUCAGACUGGGAUCACUUCGGGAAACCGGCGCUAAUACCGGAUAAUAUUUUGAACCGCAUGGUUCAAAAGUGAAAGACGGUCUUGCUGUCACUUAUAGAUGGAUCCGCGCUGCAUUAGCUAGUUGGUAAGGUAACGGCUUACCAAGGCAACGAUGCAUAGCCGACGUGAGAGGGUGAUCGGCCACACUGGAACUUAGACACGGUCCAGAGUCCUACGGGAGGGAGCAGUAGCGAAUCUGCCGCAAUGGGCGAAAGCAUGACGGAGCAACGCCGCGUGAGUGAUGAAGGUCUUCGGAUCGUAAAACUCUGUUAUUAGGGAAGAACAUAUGUGUAAGUAACUGUGCACAUCUUGACGGUACCUAAUCAGAAAGCCACGGCUAACUACGUG
This 497-nucleotide ribosomal RNA is filed under the name uncultured bacterium. RNAcentral's name for it is "partial 16S ribosomal RNA". It matches the Rfam family "Bacterial small subunit ribosomal RNA", at positions 28 to 507 of the family's 1533-position model. The record is from RNAcentral.